AUACGGAGGAUGCAAGCGUUAUCCGGAUUUAUUGGGUUUAAAGGGUGUGUAGGCGGUUUGCUAAGCGGGAGGUGAAAUGCCGGCGCUCAACGUCGGAAGUGCCUCCCGAACUGGUGGACUUGAAUGACUCUGCCGUGGGAGGAAUGUGUAGUGUAGCGGUGAAAUGCUUAGAGAUUACACAGAACACCGAUUGCGAAGGCAUCUCACGAAGGGUUGAUUGACGCUGAGGCACGAAAGCGUGGGGAUCAAACAGGAUUAGAUACCCUGGUAGUCCACGCAGUAAACGAUGAUGGCUAACCGCUGGGCUUAUCAGUUCAGUGGCCAAGCGAAAGCGAUAAGCCAUCCACCUGGGGAGUACGACCGCAAGGUUGAAACUCAAAGGAAUUGACGGGG
This 393-nucleotide ribosomal RNA is filed under the name uncultured bacterium. RNAcentral's name for it is "partial 16S ribosomal RNA". It matches the Rfam family "Bacterial small subunit ribosomal RNA", at positions 523 to 918 of the family's 1533-position model. The record is from RNAcentral.